RNAcentral lists this ribosomal RNA (253 nucleotides) under uncultured bacterium. Its description in RNAcentral is "partial 16S ribosomal RNA". It matches the Rfam family "Bacterial small subunit ribosomal RNA", at positions 524 to 776 of the family's 1533-position model. The record is from RNAcentral.
UACGUAGGGGGCUAGCGUUGUCCGGAAUCACUGGGCGUAAAGGGUGCGUAGGCGGGGCUUUAAGUCAGGGGUGAAAUCCUGGAGCUCAACUCCAGAACUGCCUUUGAUACUGAAGAUCUUGAGUUCGGGAGAGGUGAGUGGAACUGCGAGUGUAGAGGUGAAAUUCGUAGAUAUUCGCAAGAACACCAGUGGCGAAGGCGGCUCACUGGCCCGAUACUGACGCUGAGGCACGAAAGCGUGGGGAGCAAACAGG